AGAGUUUGAUCAUGGCUCAGGACGAACGCUGGCGGCGUGCCUAACACAUGCAAGUCGAGCGAGGGGAGUUCUUCGGAACGAACCUAGCGGCGGACGGGUGAGUGACACGUGGGUAACCUGCCUCAAAGAGGGGGAUAGCCUUCCGAAAGGAAGAUUAAUACCGCAUAAUCCAUUGUUUCCGCAUGGGGAUGAUGGUAAAGAUUUAUCGCUUUGAGAUGGACCCGCGGCGCAUUAGCUAGUUGGUGAGGUAAUGGCUCACCAAGGCGACGAUGCGUAGCCGACCUGAGAGGGUGAUCGGCCACAUUGGAACUGAGACACGGUCCAGACUCCUACGGGAGGCAGCAGUGGGGAAUAUUGCACAAUGGGCGCAAGCCUGAUGCAGCAACGCCGCGUGAGUGAUGAAGGUCUUCGGAUUGUAAAGCUCUGUCUUUUGGGACGAUAAUGACGGUACCAAAGGAGGAAGCCACGGCUAACUACGUGCCAGCAGCCGCGGUAAUACGUAGGUGGCAAGCGUUGUCCGGAUUUACUGGGCGUAAAGGGUGCGUAGGUGGAUAUUUAAGUCAGAUGUGAAACCCCUGGGCUCAACUCAGGGACUGCAUUUGAAACUGGAUAUCUGGAGUGCAGGAGAGGUAAGUGGAAUUCCUAGUGUAGCGGUGAAAUGCGUAGAGAUUAGGAAGAACACCAGUGGCGAAGGCGACUUACUGGACUGUAACUGACACUGAGGCACGAAAGCGUGGGUAGCAAACAGGAUUAGAUACCCUGGUAGUCCACGCCGUGAACGAUGAGUACUAGGUGUAGGGGGUAUCGACUCCCUCUGUGCCGCAGUUAACACAAUAAGUACUCCGCCUGGGAAGUACGAUCGCAAGAUUAAAACUCAAAGGAAUUGACGG
This 890-nucleotide ribosomal RNA is filed under the name uncultured bacterium. Its description in RNAcentral is "bacterial SSU rRNA". It matches the Rfam family "Bacterial small subunit ribosomal RNA", at positions 8 to 916 of the family's 1533-position model. The record is from RNAcentral.